Molecule: long non-coding RNA, 1548 nt
Organism: Oncorhynchus tshawytscha (Chinook salmon)
Lineage: Eukaryota; Metazoa; Chordata; Actinopteri; Salmoniformes; Salmonidae
Exons: 3
Source: RefSeq, a predicted model, not a curated record
UUCAGUGUUUUAUUUCCCAUAUAUAUAUAUAUAUAAAUAAACAAAUACAGAUUGAUACUUGGAGUCAAAGUAUCGAAAUAUUGUUGAAAACAGCUCUUGUUUUGCUUCUCAAGCUUUCAACAUGUUCCUUAACAUUCUCUAACCAUGAGUGAUAACUGUGUGUGUUUCAACAGAAAUACCAUCCAGUUUACACCAACUCAGAUUGAGGCCAUCCAUGCUGGGAUGCAGCCUGAACCCACUAUGGUAAACUAUGGAUGGAUGUGGUAUAUGGUGUGUUCUGGUAUGGGCGUGUGCACGACGUACUGGCCAGGAGGCUGGAGCUGCUCAGAGACGUGGGCAGUCUGCAAGAGAGUCUGGACCUACACCUGUGAGACCGACAGACACUUCUACCUCUACCAGGUGAUGUCUCACUGGGAAGAGUACAUUUCCAAGGUCAGGUCUAAGCAGGGUGAAGGCCGAAGCCAUGGCCACACACUUCCCCUUCCACAAGUACUUCUCCAACGCCCCCCCAGCCUGUGUUCCACGGUCGCUCCUAUGAUGAGGACAUGGACUUCGUUGAGGGUUGCUACCAACAACCCACAUCAAGAAGAGAUUUACCCAGCUGGAGGCAGGCCACACACACACACACACACACACACACACACACACACACAUACACACACACACACAUCACAUCACAUGUUUACCUAGCUAAAGGGACAUACACCAUGAAGAUCCUCACUCUGUCAGAGAUAAACAUGUCACAAACAAACAGGCUCUUGAACAAACACACACAUACCAUAUUCAUCCCAGUCAGAGGUUAAUUAUGUCACACACACACCAUGUCAGCAGUUCCGAUGUUGCUCACGGGUCGUUAGCCAUCUUUGUGUGUGUGGUGAAGUGGGAGUUGGAACGCUGAACACACGUGAUUCUCUUUCCACAACUGAUGCCAUGACAGGUCUGCCCAGGCUCUCUCUCCCACUCCUACCGGAGAAGUAGCCACUGUGACAUCGCACUGCAUCACAUUUCAACAGUUUGUUUUGUGUUUCUGUUGUGAUAUUAGGAGUUUGUAAUAUGAUGGGGAUAUAGUGAGUUUCUUCCUUUUCAUUCUUUUCCACCCUCUUUGUUAAAUCUCUCUUUCACACACUCACUCACUCACUCACUCAUUCCCUCUGUUUGAGUGUGUUCUGUGAGACAUUGGUUGGAAUUACAUGGUGAUUUGGUGACAUGUCACCCUGUGCCCCCUCCCCUCCUCCCCUGACCCCAUUGGCAGUGACACAGGACCUGCUGUCUGUCUCCCCAGAUGCGGAUGGAAGGUUAUAGGGCCUUUCACUCACCCUGCACUCCCUACACAUACAUACCCUACACAUAAUUUACCGGACAUUUGAGAAAUUUACCGGACCCAUAUGCAUUGGGUAUGUAACCUGAUCUGGGUGUCCACCCACCGAGCUCAGAAUGACAGAAAUCACAUUUAGAUUAUGCUAAUUCAUAUUAAAAGAACAUGUGCGGCUGGCUUCCGGGUUGGAUUGCGCGCUGUGUUAAGAAGCAGUGCGGCUUGGUUGGGUUGUG